Molecule: ribosomal RNA, 466 nt
Filed under: uncultured bacterium
Lineage: Bacteria
Description: partial 16S ribosomal RNA
Rfam family: Bacterial small subunit ribosomal RNA
Source: RNAcentral
GAUGAACGCUGACAGAAUGCUUAACACAUGCAAGUCAACUUGAAUUUGGGUUUUUAACUUAGGUUUGGGUGGCGGACGGGUGAGUAACGCGUAAAGAACUUGCCUCACAGCUAGGGACAACAUUUGGAAACGAAUGCUAAUACCUAAUAUUAUGAUAAUAGGGCAUCCUAUAAUUAUGAAAGCUAUAAGCGCUGUGAGAGAGCUUUGCGUCCCAUUAGCUAGUUGGAGAGGUAACGGCUCACCAAGGCGAUGAUGGGUAGCCGGCCUGAGAGGGUGAUCGGCCACAAGGGGACUGAGACCCGGCCCUUACUCCUACGGAGGCAGCAGUGGGGAAUAUUGGACAAUGGACCGAGAGUCUGAUCCAGCAAUUCUGUGUGCACGAUGAAGUUUUUCGGAAUGUAAAGUGCUUUCAGUUGGGAAGAAACAAAUGACGGUACCAACAGAAGAAGUGACGGCUAAAUACGUG